Long non-coding RNA from Drosophila gunungcola (fruit fly), 413 nucleotides. RefSeq lists it as uncharacterized. Lineage: Eukaryota; Metazoa; Arthropoda; Insecta; Diptera; Drosophilidae. The record is from RefSeq and is a predicted model, not a curated record. The transcript is spliced from 3 exons.
CUGGAUCCAUCCGCAGACGUCCUCCACCCACUAUGAAGCCGAGGCAUUCAGCGACUCGGCGAAGAUACUUCAAGUGCGUUCUUAUGUCAGGCGCUAGUAUUAGCAGAUCAUCCAAGUAGACGAACACAUUCGAGCGGAUUUCAGCUGGAAUUACUCGGUCCAUGAGUCUCACCAGCCUCUGUGAUGCGUUACAGAGUCCGAAAGGCAUCACACGGAACUGGUAAAGAGGCCGACCAGGAACCGUAAAGGCUGUGUAUUUCUUGCUGCUCGUGUCCAACUCAAUCUGCCAAAAAGCGAACUUCAUAUCCACGCUGGAAAUGUAGUACGUUUGGUCAAUUCUGGACAGGAUGCCGUCUAUGCUGGGCAACGGCGUCCAGGACUCGGGAUCGGUUUUCUCCUCAUCGUCAUCCACG